CCUUCGAUAGCUCAGUUGGUAGAGCGGGGGCUGUAGAUUUAUAAUUGUGAUCGCUAGGUUCGCUGGUUCGAAUCCGGCUCAAGGAU
Molecule: transfer RNA, 86 nt
Filed under: Nematostella vectensis (starlet sea anemone)
Lineage: Eukaryota; Metazoa; Cnidaria; Anthozoa; Actiniaria; Edwardsiidae
Rfam family: tRNA
About the family: Transfer RNA (tRNA) molecules are approximately 80 nucleotides in length. Their secondary structure includes four short double-helical elements and three loops (D, anti-codon, and T loops).
Source: Rfam by way of RNAcentral